RNAcentral lists this ribosomal RNA (254 nucleotides) under uncultured bacterium. RNAcentral describes it as "partial 16S ribosomal RNA". It matches the Rfam family "Bacterial small subunit ribosomal RNA", at positions 524 to 776 of the family's 1533-position model. The record is from RNAcentral.
UACAGAGGGUGCAAGCGUUGUUCGGAAUUACUGGGCGUAAAGCGCGUGUAGGCGGCGAAGCAAGUCGGACGUGAAAUCCCUCGGCUUAACCGAGGAAGUGCAUCCGAUACUGUUUUGCUUUGAGUGCCGGAGGGGGUGGUGGAAUUCCCGGUGUAGAGGUGAAAUUCGUAGAUAUCGGGAGGAACACCUGCGGCGAAGGCGGCCACCUGGAAGGUUACUGACGCUGAGACGCGAAAGCGUGGGGAGCAAACAGG